UGUUACCAUUAUUAAAUAAAAACACACAAACAAGCUUGAUACAUUUUCUUUACAAACUGCACCUAAUGAUCUCUUUCUAUGUUGAGCCCGAAUGCGUCCAAACAUCACAUCACUACACCUUAUCACACAUUACCAACAUAAUACUAUUGUAAUCAUGCUUAUCAUUCCUUAUCAGUAUGAUUUAUGUGCUCGCGGAUCGAGUUAUCUUAAGUUGCGAAAUAUUAUCAAUACUUUACAGGUAUUUAAUUUACAUCCGUCACGAAGAUUGGGGGCGUUUGGAGAAUAGGUGACUGCUAAAGUGGAAUUGUGAUAAAGGAAAUCUGACAUCGCAACGUAGUCAACGGUCAUCUGACUUUCAAAUAACAUUAAAAAACCCGGCGAGUAUUAUUGAAUCUAAUAUUUUACAAUACAUUACACUUCACAACAUUAAUUACACUGCUCAUUUCCAUGAGUUACGUCUAUACACACAUUGGCAACGCUAGAAUCUCGUUCUAUUUGACAAAAGUGGAAAUAGAACUGACGAUUUGCAUUUCUUGCCCCAGACAGCAUUAAAAACUACAAAAUUCUACUUGAAUAACUCAAAACAUAAUAUAUCAGUGUUUUAGUAAAUAGUGUAAUUUUGUAAAUUAGUAUUAAAGUACCCGCCCCACUACUUCACUUCACCUGUUGGCCUUACUCUCGCUAGAUCAAAGGUUUUCUGUUCUCCUUAUUUAUUUUCAGUACAUCAAAGCACAAAACUUCCACUAUGCAGACCCGUAAGGCUGCAGCUGUAGAAACUGAACUGAAGUUGAGGACAGCCCUAAUUGAUCUGAGGGCAUACAAAGACCAAUGCCAGAAGCUCCUGCAAGAACGUGAGGACAGCGAGGAGGAAGUGGCCAUCAUUGUUAACAAAAAUGCAGCUCUUAAGCGUCAGUUAUUAGAGUUG
Manduca sexta (tobacco hornworm) is the source of this 925-nucleotide long non-coding RNA. RefSeq lists it as uncharacterized. Lineage: Eukaryota; Metazoa; Arthropoda; Insecta; Lepidoptera; Sphingidae. The record is from RefSeq and is a predicted model, not a curated record. The transcript is spliced from 2 exons.